GAUGAACGCUGGCGGCGUGCCUAAUACAUGCAAGUCGAGCGAACGGACGAUAAGCUUGCUUUUCUGAUGUUAGCGGCGGACGGGUGAGUAACACGUGGAUAACCUACCUAUAAGACUGGGAUAACUUCGGGAAACCGGAGCUAAUACCGGAUAAUAUUUUGAACCGCAUGGUUCAAAAGUGAAAGACGGUCUUGCUGUCACUUAUAGAUGGAUCCGCGCUGCAUUAGCUAGUUGGUAAGGUAACGGCUUACCAAGGCAACGAUGCAUAGCCGACCUGAGAGGGUGAUCGGCCACACUGGAACUGAGACACGGUCCAGACUCCUACGGGAGGCAGCAGUAGGGAAUCUUCGGCAAUGGGCGAAAGCCUGACGGAGCAACGCCGCGUGAGUGAUGAAGGUCUUCGGAUCGUAAAACUCUGUUAUUAGGGAAGAACAUAUGUGUAAGUAACUGUGCACAUCUUGACGGUACCUAAUCAGAAAGCCACGGCUAACUACGUG
Molecule: ribosomal RNA, 497 nt
Filed under: uncultured bacterium
Lineage: Bacteria
Description: partial 16S ribosomal RNA
Rfam family: Bacterial small subunit ribosomal RNA
Source: RNAcentral